Molecule: ribosomal RNA, 109 nt
Filed under: Flavobacteriaceae bacterium
Lineage: Bacteria; Pseudomonadati; Bacteroidota; Flavobacteriia; Flavobacteriales; Flavobacteriaceae
Source: RNAcentral
UAGGGUGGUUAUUGCGGCGGGGCUCACCUCUUCCCAUUUCGAACAGAGAAGUUAAGCCCGUUAGCGCAGAUGGUACUGCUAUUAGUGGGAGAGUAUGUCGUUGCCCUUU